CGAACGAUGAAGCCUUUCGGGGUGGAUUAGUGGCGAACGGGUGAGUAACACGUGGGCAAUCUGCCCUUCACUCUGGGACAAGCCCUGGAAACGGGGUCUAAUACCGGAUAACACUCUGUCCCGCAUGGGACGGGGUUAAAAGCUCCGGCGGUGAAGGAUGAGCCCGCGGCCUAUCAGCUUGUUGGUGGGGUAAUGGCCUACCAAGGCGACGACGGGUAGCCGGCCUGAGAGGGCGACCGGCCACACUGGGACUGAGACACGGCCCAGACUCCUACGGGAGGCAGCAGUGGGGAAUAUUGCACAAUGGGCGAAAGCCUGAUGCAGCGACGCCGCGUGAGGGAUGACGGCCUUCGGGUUGUAAACCUCUUUCAGCAGGGAAGAAGCGCAAGUGACGGUACCUGCAGAAGAAGCGCCGGCUAACUACGUGCCAGCAGCCGCGGUAAUACGUAGGGCGCAAGCGUUGUCCGGAAUUAUUGGGCGUAAAGAGCUCGUAGGCGGCUUGUCACGUCGGAUGUGAAAGCCCGGGGCUUAACCCCGGGUCUGCAUUCGAUACGGGCUAGCUAGAGUGUGGUAGGGGAGAUCGGAAUUCCUGGUGUAGCGGUGAAAUGCGCAGAUAUCAGGAGGAACACCGGUGGCGAAGGCGGAUCUCUGGGCCAUUACUGACGCUGAGGAGCGAAAGCGUGGGGAGCGAACAGGAUUAGAUACCCUGGUAGUCCACGCCGUAAACGUUGGGAACUAGGUGUUGGCGACAUUCCACGUCGUCGGUGCCGCAGCUAACGCAUU
Molecule: ribosomal RNA, 783 nt
Filed under: Streptomyces microflavus
Lineage: Bacteria; Bacillati; Actinomycetota; Actinomycetes; Kitasatosporales; Streptomycetaceae
Description: bacterial SSU rRNA
Rfam family: Bacterial small subunit ribosomal RNA
Source: RNAcentral